Hibiscus syriacus is the source of this 735-nucleotide long non-coding RNA. RefSeq lists it as uncharacterized. The transcript has 5 exons. Lineage: Eukaryota; Viridiplantae; Streptophyta; Magnoliopsida; Malvales; Malvaceae. The record is from RefSeq and is a predicted model, not a curated record.
GAAGGUUGGGGAUGCAACUUGAUGUUCAAGCAAGGAGAUAACUCAUUAUCCAUUGAAUCCUUCAUAGGUGAAAACUCAUCAGAAAACUCCAUUUCUUCAAUAUCUUUAUCAGACUUGGUUGAGGAAGCAUCUUCUGCAACAUCAUCGUUGUCAUCAUCCAAUGGACCUCUUUAUGAAUUGUCAGAUCUCAUGGCUCAACUUCCUAUCAGGAGAGGGCUUUCUAAACAUUACCGAGGGAAAUCUCAGUCCUUCACAUCAUUAGCAAGGGUGAUGAGCAUAGAAGAUGUUCCAAAGAGAGUGGUGAAUCCUUUGAACAAUAGAGGCAAUAUGAAAUCAUGUAAGAGCUAUGGAUGGGAACUUGAUGGUGGUCAGAGAAGCAAGUCAUAUAGUCCCAAGGCUACCAUAUCAAAGAAGGGUUGUUAUAGUAGAACCUUUUUCAUGUCUUCUCUAGGUAAGACAAGUAGUAAUAAUCAAGUGAUUAGUGAAAAAUGAAGGAUUGAGGUAAUGUUGUUCCUAUACCUUCCAUCUCCUUGCACAAGAACCCAUCAGAUUAGCUGAAAUUGUUGCAGCAAGCGAGGUGUGUUGUAGUUUUUCCAUUUCAUGGAAGGAAACAAAUUAUCAGCUCACCAUUCUUUUUAUGGUUGUCAAAGGUUUAAAGAUGAUUUAUAACCCUUAAUAAGGGGUUUUAAGAUUACAGAAUACUAGCUUAGAGUAAACCAGAAGUUUCAUUGUGUA